Molecule: long non-coding RNA, 1377 nt
Filed under: Felis catus (domestic cat)
Lineage: Eukaryota; Metazoa; Chordata; Mammalia; Carnivora; Felidae
Description: lncRNA (ENSFCAG00000053008.1)
Source: RNAcentral
CACGCCAUGCUUCCCACAGGCAUCGUCCUCUCAACAAGGGGGGGUGAGCAAAGAUCACCAAGUUUACCCAGAUAUUUGACCUCAGGCGUGCCUGCUCUAUUCCUUUAAAAGAAGGAAAUCCAAGGAGAUGGGGAGCAAAACAAUGGCUCCGUUAAAGUGACUUUUAACUGUUGUUUCACCUCUGGCCCCUUUCCACCAAAAUCUGAGCCCUGCCCUGCCAUAUUUAGAACCGUUAACAUGUAAACUGAGGCACAUUAAACAUUUUAAGAGCCAUUUGAGCAGCAUCGGUAAGAAUGGGAAGUGGUGAGGAGUGCCUUACUAACAGAAGCUGGAGGAAAGAGUUUUAUAGAGCAGGUGCAGAAGCAAAGAAAGGAAAUUAUUUGAUUGGCUACAGCUUAAAGCCUAGUUGGCCGUUAGUGAUUGGUUGUCCUUAGGUUUUGAUUUCCUAACCUGACGCCUUUACAGGCUUAUGUUUUAGUUUGCUUCCAUGGGUCAUGGAAGCAUUAAGGCCACUUCAGUCAAGUGGCCUCUUUGUUUAAUGAAUUUAACACAACCUGGCAAAGAAAAUCGUGCUGGGUUUAAAUGAUAUAUUUAAAAAAAAUUUUUUUAACGUUUAUUUAUUUUUGAGACAGAGAAUGUACGGGGGAGGGUCAGAGAGAGGGAGACACAGAAUCUGAAGCAGGCUCCAGGCUCCGAGCUGUCAGCACAGAGCCCGAACGGGGCUCGAACUCACGGACCGCGAGAUCAUGACCUGAGCCGAAGUCGGACGCUCAACCGACCGAGCCACCCAGGCGCCCCUUAAAUGAUAUAUUUUAAUGAGACACGUGUAUCACACGUUGCCUGGUGCUGACAGCAGUCACUCCCAGUUUUCUUGGCCACGACAUGGAGAGCCACGAAUCUGUUCCAGAAUGACCCCUGGCUGCCCCUGGAAGGUGCACAGGCAAACCUCAUCAAAGAAAAUGAAAGACAAGUCCACACUGGCUACUGGAAGUCGAUGCUUCAUCUCUCCGUUGCUGGGACCCUGGCUGUGGAGCAACACGGUGGGCUUGCAGGGUUCAAAGAAAAUGGAACUGUCACCUAAAAACCAUACUGCUCAUGUGUGCUGUGAAAUGCCAUUCUCUGUAACAGUCUCUUUCGGACAUGGCUAAUUACCAAGGCACUAAGCCAAUUAUCUGUAGACUCACCCCUGAGGAUCUAGCUUCUCCAAAGCUGUCCUUUCUGCCCCUUGCUUCCUCACAGGAAUUUACUCUUUUCUCCCCCUACUGGGAAAGCAGUUGCCUUUUUAAAUAUAGGUCAUAGAACCUCCAUAUGGGCCAAGAGCCAUCCGCUAGGAGCGCACAGGAUAGAGAAAUCUUUAUAGAAACACUGCAAUUCCCC